AGGAAAUGCAUGAGACUAUGUUAUUGGUGUAUAAACUGUAUUUUUUUUUUUUUGAGAAAAAGGUAGGACGCUAUCUGCUUCAUUCAUUGAUUCAAUAAAUUAAGCUACAAGUGUGGAGCAACUAGCCCCCGAAAAGGGCGGUGAAAAAAAAAAAAAAUAAAAGUCCUUCACGAUUAGCUAGAAGGCUCGAGAAGAAGAUCCCACUCCUUGACGAGCGACUUGAGUCUGUGGGCUGCCAACACUGGGUUGGGGAGGAUAUUUCGAAAUAUACAGUCGUUUCUGACCUUUCAAGUGAUCCACCAACAUCCCACUAGAUCGGAAAGUCUGGUUCGCUUCAUUUGAUGAUCCUUUCUUUU
This 356-nucleotide long non-coding RNA is filed under the name Ananas comosus (pineapple). RNAcentral's name for it is "long non-coding RNA (ACOM_LNC014194)". The record is from RNAcentral. Lineage: Eukaryota; Viridiplantae; Streptophyta; Magnoliopsida; Poales; Bromeliaceae.